Molecule: long non-coding RNA, 278 nt
Filed under: Notechis scutatus (mainland tiger snake)
Lineage: Eukaryota; Metazoa; Chordata; Lepidosauria; Squamata; Elapidae
Description: lncRNA (ENSNSUG00000007090.1)
Source: RNAcentral
CAACAGUCACCUAUUUUCUUCUGGUCAUACAACAGUGCUCUGUCUGCCCUCACAGUCUGUGCUACACCGAUAUUAUUCAUGUAGGAAGGCAAUGGUGGGCCACAGAAACUGAUAAGAGAGUCCAAAAAUCACACGGGGCCAAUGUCAACACCAAAUUCCUGAUCGGCGCCACCAAUGUCCAUAGGCGCAAUGUCAAUGAUGGGCAGGCGCGAAGUCUUCUGAGAUCGAUACUCGAUGAUUGUCUUCCCCCACUUGCCAGUGUGUUUCUGGAAUGGUGA